UGGCACGGAGCGUGCACCAGAGCCUGCUGGAGGCCUGCGCCUGCGCGGCGGGACAAGGAGCGGGGCCGUGCAGGGGGACGGGCUCGUCACGUACCUUCGAUGAGAAGCGUAGUUGCCGGUGAUGUGCCCAGAGCCGUCGCAGCCGGGGGUCGGGCACCUGCAAACACAAAUGCAGAUCGGCCAGUUGACUUGAGAGAAAUCGACCCCCUCAACACGUCACGUCCUUACUCAUCCAGAAAGCAAACUCUCAAUGCUUCACCUCCCUACCAGAGAGAGACGGGUGGAGCAGGAAGCCCCGCGGCGGGGAGCGGGCACCUGUGCCCACCUAGCGCACCACCAGAUACCAACCUUGGCCACCUUCUUCCUUCCAAGCACAAGGACGCUUUCCGGAGCAUCAGGCCCUCGGUACCUGCCUCGCUCACAACACCCCCUCGGGCUUGGGCUCGAGGCUGUUGAGUCCAGAGACUCUGGCCCCUGCAGACACCCCCGCCUGCUUCCCUCCUGCUCAUGUGAGCCUCAGGGAGGGAGGGGUCAGUGGGACUCAGCCACAGCAGUCGUCCACGAAGCAAGCUUCGUACACGGCGGACGUGUGCAGGGACUGCUCUUUGUCUACACUUGAAACACCGGCCCUAAAUCGGGCUCCCAUUAAAGCUGGGCCACCUGGCUGACCCGGGUCCAGUGAGGGCGGUGCCUGGGCCUGAGCCGUGGGGACUCCAUGAGAGCGUCAGGCCACCCGGAGUUGCCUUAAAGCCCCGUGACCUUAACCGACCCGCACGGAGCCCGGAUCUCUUGGUCCAGCAGUCCCCAUCAGCCCAGACCCUAGAGUCCUUCUGGGACCUGCACCGGCUCUGCGUCGGCCUGUGCUACGGGACACAGCGUUCUUUAAGAACGGUUUCAUCAUCGCUGCCCUUCCUAUGACGUCCUAAGUGCACUGUCUCAAGGAAAGUCAGGUGCACCGCAGACACCUUGCAUCUCAAGCUAUGCUGGUUGCCAUGUGGCCACCGGGACUGUAAAAAACAAGGACAAAAAUUAGGAAAAAAUUCUUCUUUCUUUCCAGAUAGCUUGUAACUCGAAUGAAGGGACUUAGUAAGAACAUCACGCCUGGGUCAGCCCUGUGCCCCACCCCCACUCCGUGAACACCCGAGUGCCCGGUAAGGACAAAAAUCACAAACUUCAAGUAUUUAACCAGUGUCUGCUGCUUCUGAGGGGUUUCACGUGGCUUUCCGCUCAGAGUCACCGGGGACACCGGAUGCUGAGACGGGGCCAGCAAAUGACUUGUCUGGAGCAGGACGUGGUGGCCCCGCUGCCCGCCCAGCACCGCCGGAUGCUGGGCGGAGACGGCGGUGGGUGUCACAAGCCAACACUCGGUGUCUGUCUACAUCUCCUUCAGUCCUAAGAGAGGGGUCCGUCCUGGCUCUCACGGUGCGCUAACGGCUAUUUGCCGUGUCAUAUUACAGGUUGAAGUUCCGUUUACGGCCCCUGCUGUGAUUGCUUAAAGAGGCAAACGGAUCACGUUUGCCACGUCGCUGGUGUGGACACUCGGAACCAGGAGUUUUAAAAUAUGCGCUCGUGGUGGAACAAUGAAGUGUGUGCAGAAUCUGUGUGUCGAGAACCACCACCGAAAUCUGACUGUUGACCUGAGUUUUGUUAGAGCGACAGCUGUUUGUGUGCAAUUAAAGUCUGAUCGCAAGACUAUUCUGCCAAUGGAUCUAAGACGGCAAAGAGACCUGCGAGCCUGAACCUCCCAGAAUGCCCUGUGCUCAUGGCUGCACUGAGCUAUGUACACCAAAACAAACAUUCUGUUCGGAUCUACACAGGAACUAUCACUGAUCACAGCCACAUGGGGGUCAUAGGAUGUAUGCCCUAAUGUCAAAGCACAACUUAAUGUCUCUCCAUUAAAACACAUAAUCCUGGACACCAUAAGACUUUGCACUGGCACACGUCCCAGGAAUGUCACAGCCUCGUGUCUGCCCUGAUCUGUCCCUCUGUGAGACAUACACCUGUUACAGUGUCGUCUUCCCGCCCAUCUAAAACCCCUGUCCUGAGACCGGGUGGGAGCAAUGGAACUCAUCAAACCCACGACUGAAGUGUCAUCGAUUCGUUAUUGUUAAACGGAUGCCUGCAUCAGAAUGCAGGUUACUACACGUUGUGAUCUGAGACUGGUGAACCGCUGUGGCUUCUGCCCCCCUGGUGACACGUCAGUGAGGUGCAGGGCGGAUUCCAUGCACACGAGCAUUUCUUCCUGGGGACCCCAAGGUGCUGCCCAGGCGCCCUUGCCGGGUAGCACGUGGCUAAGCCCCUGACCCCACAGGGCCAGCCCUUCGCCGUCUACCUGGGGGGUGACGCCGCCCUGAGCGGUAAAACACCCUGGGUGCGGCAGCCUCUGUGACCUUGUGCCCAGCGUCCCCCUUCGCUGUGCUGGCAGAAAGACCCAGCUUGUCUCCUGCGAAUCAGCUUACAGCAAAAAAUAUCUGAAGGUGUCUCAGGCUCUCUCCUCCUGGUAAAAGUCCAUCACUUAUUUUCAAAAACCUUCUACAUAGAGGCAGGAAGAACCGUGGGUGUCUCCGGGCUGCACCGGGAGAGUCUGUGGUUGACCCGCCUCCGUGAACUGCCCUGCGAGGCUGAGGCCAGUAGCUGGAAAUCCACAGAAACAGACCCUGAGGAUCCAGGGUGAUCAUGCAAAAUACAAGGGGUGCACUGGAGUUCUGGGAGGAUUUCGUGGAAAGGCCCUCGGCCACGUUUCUUGCUCAUUUCUUUCGUGGCAACUCUAUCAAGGGAACGUAAUUAAGUAAAAUGCCAAGUAUGAAAAAAUAUGUAAUUUUUUUCUAUUGCCCUCAACUUUAAAAGAACUCAUAAAAAUGUAAGAUUAGGCCUCGUCCAUAAUAGCAAAAUAUGUUUGUAAAUUGGAACGAUUCAGGCCACAUGUACAAAAGUCUUUGCUUUAUUUAUAUAAAAAGUUCAAUUCAGAAACUGCUUUUUAUUUUAUUUUUUUUGCUUA
This is a long non-coding RNA of Prionailurus viverrinus (fishing cat), 2998 nucleotides long. RefSeq lists it as uncharacterized. NCBI's taxonomy places the organism in Eukaryota, Metazoa, Chordata, Mammalia, Carnivora, Felidae. The record is from RefSeq and is a predicted model, not a curated record. The transcript is spliced from 3 exons.